Juglans microcarpa x Juglans regia is the source of this 181-nucleotide long non-coding RNA. RefSeq lists it as uncharacterized. The transcript is spliced from 3 exons. Lineage: Eukaryota; Viridiplantae; Streptophyta; Magnoliopsida; Fagales; Juglandaceae. The record is from RefSeq and is a predicted model, not a curated record.
AUCACGAGAUUAUGGUGGAAUCUAGUAUUGUGGUUUGGCUUCAGAAGGCACUGGAGGUUUAUUUGAGAGGGGAGAAUAAGGAGGUCUAUGGCACCGUUAGAGAAGGUUACCACAGAUUUUUAGCUUAGAAGUGCAUAAAAUCUCGAGGUCGUUAUGUGGUGGUUACUGAAUAUGGUGAGGA